AUUGAACGCUGGCGGCAUGCCUUACACAUGCAAGUCGAGCGCGAAAGGGGGCAACCCCGAGUAGAGCGGCGGACGGGUGAGUAACGCAUCGGAACGUGCCCAGUAGUGGGGGACAACCUCGAGAAAUCGAGGCUAAUACCGCAUACGACCCACGGGUGAAAGCGGGGGACCGCAAGGCCUCGCGCUAUUGGAGCGGCCGAUGUCCGAUUAGCUAGUUGGCGGGGUAAGAGCCCACCAAGGCGACGAUCGGUAGCUGGUCUGAGAGGGCGACCGGCCACACUGGGACUGAGACACGGCCCAGACUCCUACGGGAGGCAGCAGUGGGGAAUCUUGCGCAAUGGGCGAAAGCCUGACGCAGCGACGCCGCGUGAGGGAUGACGGCCU
RNAcentral lists this ribosomal RNA (384 nucleotides) under uncultured bacterium. Its description in RNAcentral is "bacterial SSU rRNA". It matches the Rfam family "Bacterial small subunit ribosomal RNA", at positions 29 to 417 of the family's 1533-position model. The record is from RNAcentral.